Non-coding RNA from Vicugna pacos (alpaca), 754 nucleotides. The record is from RefSeq and is a predicted model, not a curated record. NCBI's taxonomy places the organism in Eukaryota, Metazoa, Chordata, Mammalia, Artiodactyla, Camelidae.
CAGGAGGGGAGGGGACGGCUUGCCCGGCCUGUGGUGUGAGGUCUACCUGGGAACGGUGGAGUGUUCUUGCCCCAGGAGCCCCCAAGUCUACAAUGAACAAACGGGCAGUUUAUUUCUGAAAUAAUCCCAGGGCAUCGCUGCUGGUCUGGGAGAGAAGGGAAGACCAACCUGUCAUGAGGAUGUCUUCAAACACACGGCUGGGACUGCCAUGCUGGCCGCUCUCGGGAAAGGCGUGUGUGUCCGGGGACACGCGGAGGCCUUGGAUGGGGUGGCACUGGGUCCCCUGGUAUUUCUUUUAUGGGUGGGCGUGGGCACCCCUGGCCUGAAGGUCAUCCCUCAGGCCUCGUGGACACACAGGGAAGAGGCGGGCUUCUCUAAGCGUCUUCCGUUGGCCUGAAUUCCCACCGCUCCUCCAACAGGGAGAGCGCGGCCUGCGGGCGGGAAAGGCCGGGGCGGAGACCUGGGCUCCCCGCCCCUUCCCAGGAAUGUGACCAAGACUGGACGCUGAGCCGGCCUCAUCUCCUCAGUCAUCUGAGUCCAUUUCCGGUGAGACAGACCCGACAGUAUCUGUCCACGUGUGGGCCUGACGGCCGUGAUACCAUCAGCAGAUAAACGCAGAGCUGGGGAGACAGCGGGAAGGCCGGCAGCUGCGAGGUUCGCCGCCGACCCAAGUCCCCGCGUGGUGUGAGCGCGUUCGUCGUCAGGUCCGCUCGGCUGUCCUCGCCGCCGUCACCGGCGUCCGCAUCCUGCCCUG